This 6812-nucleotide long non-coding RNA is filed under the name Eutrema salsugineum. RNAcentral describes it as "long non-coding RNA (ESAL_LNC001239)". The record is from RNAcentral. Lineage: Eukaryota; Viridiplantae; Streptophyta; Magnoliopsida; Brassicales; Brassicaceae.
CCCAUUAAGCCCAACCUAAACUAAGUUAACCUAAAUAUAAAUACCUCUCUAAUCUUUCAUUCUCUAUUUUUGAAAACCCUAGCCACAUUCUCCUUUUCUCUUCUCUUUCUCUCAGCCACGCCAUCCUCCUUCUCUCUUCCUCACCGUGGCUCUCUCCCUCUAUCUCUCUCUCUUUCUCUUCCUCUCUCCCUUGGCCGCUGCUCUCUCCUCCUCCAUCAGCUACGCUCCAUCUUUCUUCUCUCUUAAACCCUAGCCGCCGCCGCCUCCUUCCAUGACGUUUUCCCGACGAACCGUGUGGAUCCACGAAACGAGCUACAUAUCAAUCUGUAGCCCCGAGUGUCAGCUUUCCAAGGAGGCCGAGUGCAUCCAGAUCGAAGUUCUAUGCCAGGAGAUAUCGUCGUUUUGGUGUGAUAUGUCCAGAUCUGCUUUGUUGCUAAGGUGAGGAUUAGAUCUAGGGUCUUCUUUUUAUUCAUUUGUCUUCUGCUGGUGUGUGAGGUCUAGAUCUGAUGAGCAUAGGCUGUUUCCUUGUGCAUCUAGCUAGAUCCAUGUGUAAAUCCAAUGAAAUGAUAUAGGAUCUCAUUAGAGGAAGAACCAACAAAUUUGAUUGUUCACCCUGAUGUGUGGUUAGUGAUUGGUAGUGUAGCUAGAUCAGGUGUUCAUCUCGGUGGUGAUGUGCCGAGGUAUGGACUUGUUUGCUGGGCUAUUGCUGUCUGUGUGACCAAAGCGGUAGUUCAACGGUGGGGGAAGGUACGCCGAUCCUUCCGGAGUCUAUAUGACUGGAAGCCUGUCUGUGUGACCUGGCAAUGUUGAACCUGUCUGUGUGACCUGGUGCCUGUCUUUGUGACCUGGCGAUGUAGAUCCUGUCUGUGUGAGCUGGCAGUGCCUGUCUGUGUGACCUGGCAAGGUUGGAGACAUCACAAUUGCUUGCUAGUUGUUUGUGCAUCGCUAGGAUGCUUGUGUGUUGCUUGUUGGAUUUAUUCUUGACAUGCUGGUGGGAAAUAAAUGAGUGGAAAGGGAGCCUGGUCUGCUUCUCACUGAGUAAUCCCCAUUACUCACCCAUCUUCUUCCCUUGUCUUAUCAGGUGUAGGUGAAAGAUCAGCUUAAGUCUAUGUUGUUGAUUGCUACCUGGGCAUUUUCGAUCCUGGCAGACCUGAGGCUCACCAACUGGACCAAACCAGGCGUCUGACCGAAUGCGCUUAGAUGGCCAACCUAACAUGCCCUAUUUCUCCGGUUUUCUUAGGAAGCCUGGGAUAGGUAUCAGAGCCCAGGGAGAUCUCCUAGUUCUGUCCUAGGAGGUCGCGCCUGUGUUUACAAAAAGAAAAAUAUAUUUUUGUGAAAACAUUUUUACUAAAAAAAGAAAAAAUUUUUUAAAUGUUUUCAAACCUAGAACAACCAACAACUUAUAGACGGCUGGUUUUAUAGUUUUCUCUAUCCUCUUUCUUGUUUGUUGUUAGGGGCUCAGGUUCAGGACGCGAGAAACCGCAUGGAAGAGGGCUAUGUCUUUAACCAUGUGGUAGUUUAAGUCUGCCUUUGGAGUUGCAACAAAAUUGCCUCUAUGCAAGACUGGUUAUUGGUGUGGUUCAGACUGUACCAGGGUGGUUGUUCUGGAAUUACCACACCGUGCGAUGCCAGUCCUGACUAUGCAAUCUUUGGUUCUAUAGCAGCCUUCAACAUGUAUGAUUAGGUUCAGAUCUGGUCUACAUAGUUAAGGUAUUAAAAGGCAGGCGUCGUAAGAGUCCAUAGAAAUUGUCAGACUGUAAAUAGUCCGGCGAGUUCGAUCUCGGAAUGACGAGGAACCUAGCUGUGUUAUCUAAAGAAAACGGAUGUGCUUGAAUACCUUUGGGGAAUUCACACUCUUAUCCGAUUCAGAGGAUUUCACGGUGGCCUUAGUGUGUAUCGAAUCCUGCUCAGCAAUAUCAACCAAUAGCCUUCUUUUUCCUUCUCUUCCUUCCUUUUACCUUAGACCUUUGUUCAAGACCCGAGAGCCUGUGCGCAAGAAGUUCACUCCUUUUCCUCAAGUGAAAUUUAGCAAAGAGGUGGUCGUCAUUUCGUCUGGUAGUGAAGCAGAAGAAAGUCCUCCCUCUGAUUGUUUCCUUUUUAUAUUUAAAAAAAAAAAAGUUUUCAAAGGAAUAGAACUCUAUUUGUUUGGAUUAUUGAUUACUUUAGGUUUUUUAUGAAUUAGUUAGAUUAUAUGCAAAAGUUGUUUUCAUUUUCCCUCUCAAAAAAAAAAAAAAAUGUUCUACUUCUCCUUGUCACAUUAAUCAAAUGUUUUUUUUUGGAUUUUACUCAAAAUGUUUUAUUGCAUCAUACCUUAAACUCUUAUUCUUUCACAUUUCUGUCUAUCACUCUGCGUUUUAAACCUUUAGCCUUCAACUCCUUCUUGGCGCCAUGAGUUACAUGAUUUCCUUCUUGUUCUUUCCUCUUAGCCAUCAUUCCUCCUAGUGCCAUGGUUCAUUUCUAAUUCCCCUUCUGAUUUUAUUUCUAGUCCCACUUCUGAUUUCAUUUUUUUUUGCUCUUCCUUCUAAACUCAUUUCUAUUUCCUUCUUAUUUAAUUUCUGAUUUCCUUCUUGUCUUUUUCUUCUUAACCUCUUCCUUUCUAGUGCCAUAGUUCCUUGUGGUUCCAUUCCUAAUCUCCUUCCGAAUUUUAUUCCUGCUUUUCCUUUUGAUUCAAUUUUCGAUUUUCCUUCUGGAUCCAUUUGUUUUCUUGCCUCCAUUUCCUAAUCUCAUUCCUGACUUCUUUCUCUUUCUGCGACCAAGCUCCUCUCCUCCCUUGUGCAUUUAUUUCUCUUGGUCUUUAGCUUUCGAAUUUCCUUUCAGGAACUUCUCCCUAGGAUUCGGGGACGAAUCCCCUUGAAGGGGGAAGAUUGUAACACCCCGACCCGCCGGGUCGGUUGUUACUAAAAAUCAAUUUCCGGUUUACUUAAAUUAAACCAUCUUUCUUAAUUAAGCCCACUUUUAAUAUCUUCUUAAUCUCUUUUUAACCUUUUGCGAGCCCAUUAAGCCCAACUUAAACUAAGUUAACCUAAAUAUAAAUACCUCUCUAAUCUUUCAUUCUCUAUUUUCGAAAACCCUAGCCACAUUAUCCUCUUCUCUUCUCUUUCUCUCAGCCACGCCAUCCUCCUUCUCUCUUCCUCACCGUGGCUCUCUCCCUCUAUCUCUCUCUCUUUCUCUUCCUCUCUCCCUUGGCCGCUGCUCUCUCCUCCUCCAUCAGCUCCUCUUUCUUCUCUCUUAAACCCUAGCCGCCGCCGUCUCCUUCCAUGACGUUUUCCCGACGAACCGUGUGGAUCCACGAGACGAGCUACAUAUCAAUCUGUAGCCCCGAGUGUCAUUUUUCCAAGGAUGCCGAGUUCAUCCAGAUCGAAGUUCUAUGCCAGGAGAUAUCGUCGUUUUGGUGUGAUAUGUCCAGAUCUGCUUUGUUGCUAAGUUGAGGAUUAGAUCUAGGGUCUACUUUUUAUUCAUUUGUCUUCUGCUGGUGUUUGAGGUCUAGAUCUGAUGAGCAUAGGCUGUUUCCUUGUGCAUCUAGCUAGAUCCAUGUGCAAAUCUAAUGAAAUGAUAUAGGAUCUCAUUAGAGGAAGAACCAACAUAUUUGAUUGUUCACCCUGAUGUGUGGUUAGUGAUUGGUAGUGUAGCUACAUCAGGUGUUCAUCUCGGUGGUGAUGUGCCGAGGUAUGGACUUGUUUGCUGGGCUAUUGCUGUCUGUGUGACCAAAGCGGUAGUUCAACGGUGGGGGAAGGUACGCCGAUCCUUCCGGAAUCUAUAUGACUGGAAGCCUGUCUGUGUGACCUGGCAAUGUUGAACCUGUCUGUGUGACCUGGUGCCUGUCUUUGUGACCUGGCGAUGUAGAGCCUGUCUGUGUGAGCUGGCAGUACCUGUCUGUGUGACCUGGCAAGGUUGGAGACAUCACAAUUGCUUGCUAGUUGUUUGUGCAUCGCUAGGAUGCUUGUGUGUUGCUUGUUAGAUUUAUUCUUGACAUGCUGGUUGGAAAUAAAUGAGUGGAAAGGGAGCCUGGUCUGCUUCUCACUGAGUAAUCCCCAUUACUCAGUCCUCCUAUUCCCUUGUCUUAUCAUGUGUAGGUGAAAGAUCAGCUUAAGUCUAUGUUGUUGAUUGCUACCUGGGCGUUUUCGAUCCUGGCAGACCUGAGGCUCACCAACUGGACCAAACCAGGCGUCUGACCGAAUGCGCUUAGAUGGCCAACCUAACAUGCCCUAUUUCUCCGGUUUUCUUAGGAAGCCUGGGAUAGGGAUGUUACAAAUGGUAUCAGAGCCCAGGGAGAUCUCCUAGUUCUGUCCUAGGAGGUCGCGCCUGUGUUUACAAAAAGAAAAAUAUAUUUUUGUGAAAACAUUUUUACUAAAAAAAGAAAAUUUUUUUUAAAUGUUUUCAAACCUAGAACAACCAACAACUUAUAGACGGCUGGUUUUAUAGUUUCCUCUAUCCUCUUUCUUGUUUGUUGUUAGGGGCUCAGGUUCAGGACGCGAGAAACCGCAUGGAAGAGGGCUAUGUCUUUAACCAUGUGGUAGUUUAAGUCUGCCUUUGGAGUUGCAACAAAAUUGCCUCUAGGCAAGACUGGUUAUUGGUGUGGUUCAGACUGUACCAGGGUGGUUGUUCUGGAAUUACCACACCGUGCGAUGCCAGUCCUGACUACGCAAUCUUUGGUUCUAUAGCAGCCUUCAACAUGUAUGAUUAGGUUCAGAUAUGGUCUACAUAGUUAAGGUAUUAAAAGGCAGGCGUCGCAAGAGUCCAUAGAAAUUGUCAGACUGUAAAUAGUCCGGCGAGUUCGAUCUCGGAAUGACGAGGAACCUAGCUGUGAUAUCUAAAGAGAACGAAUGUGCUUGAAUACCUUUGGGGAAUUCACACUCUUAUCCGAUUCAGAGGAUUUCACGGUGGCCUUAGUGUGUAUCGAAUCCUGCUCAGCAAUAUCAACCAAUAGCCUUCUUUUUCCUUCUCUUCCUUCCUUUUACCUUAGACCUUUGUUCAAGACCCGAGAGCCUGUGCGCAAGAAGUUCACUCCUUUUCCUCAAGUGAAGUUUAGCAAAGAGGUGGUCGUUAUUUCGUCUGGUAGUGAAGCAGAAGAAAGUCCUCCCUCUGAUUGUUUCCUUUUUAUAUUUAAAAAAAAAAAGUUUUCAAAGGAAUAGAACUCUAUUUGUUUGGAUUAUUGAUUACUUUAGGUUUCUUAUGAAUUAGUUAGAUUAUAUGCAAAAGUUGUUUUCAUUUUCCCUCUCAAAAAAAAAAAAAAUCUUCUACUCCUCCUUGUCACAUUAAUCAAAUGUUUUUUUUUUGGAUUUUACUCAAAAUGUUUUAUUGCAUCAUACCUUAAACUCUUAUUCUUUCACAUUUCUGUCUAUCACUCUACGGUCUAAACCUUUAGCCUUCAACUCCUUCUUGGCGCCAUGAGUUACAUGAUUUCCUUCUUGUUCUUUCCUCUUAGCCAUCAUUCCUCCUAGUGCCAUGGUUCAUUUCUAAUUCCCCUUCUGAUUUUAUUUCUAGGCCCACUUCUGAUUUCAUUUUUUUUUGCUCUUCCUUCUAAACUCAUUUCUAUAUCCUUCUUAUUUAAUUUUCUGAUUUCCUUCUUGACUUUUUCGUUCUUAACCUCUUCCUUUCUAGUGNNNNNNNNNNNNNNNNNNNNNNNNNNNNNNNNNNNNNNNNNNNNNNNNNNNNNNNNNNNNNNNNNNNNNNNNNNNNNNNNNNNNNNNNNNNNNNNNNNNNUGCUUUUCCUUUUGAUUCUAUUUUUGAUUUUCCUUCUGGAUCCAUUUCAUUUCUUGCUUCCAUUUCCUAAUCUCAUUCCUGACUUCUUUCUCUUUCUGCGACCAAGCUCCUCUCCUCCCUUGUGCAUUUAUUUCUCUUGGUCUUUAGCUUUCGAAUUUCCUUUCAGGAACUUCUCCCUAGGAUUCGGGGACGAAUCCCCUUGAAGAGGGGAAGAUUGUAACACCCCGACCCGCCGGGUCGGUUGUUACUAAAAAUCAAUUUCCGGUUUACUUAAAUUAAACCAUCUUUCUUAAUUAAGCCCACUUUUAAUAUCUUUUUAAUCUCUUUUUAACCUUUUGCGAGCCCAUUAAGCUCAACCUAAACUAAGUUAACCUAAAUAUAAAUACCUCUCUAAUCUUUCAUUCUUUAUUUUCGAAAACCCUAGCCACAUUCUCCUCUUCUCUUCUCUUUCUCUCAGCCACGCCAUCCUCCUUCUCUCUUCCUCACCGUGGCUCUCUCUCCCUCUAUCUCUCUCUCUUUCUCUUCCUCUCUCCCUUGGCCGCUGCUCUCUCCUCCUCCAUCAGCUACGCUCCCUCUUUCUUCUCUCUUAAACCCUAGCCGCCGUCGCCUCCUUCCAUGACGUUUUCCCGACGAACCGUGUGGAUCCACAAGACGAGCUACAUAUCAAUCUGUAGCCCCGAGUGUCAGCUUUCCAAGGAGGCCGAGUUCAUCCAGAUCAGAGUUCUAUGCCAGGACAUAUCGUCGUUUUGGUGUGAUAUGUCCAGAUCUGCUUUGUUGCUAAGGUGAGGAUUAGAUCUAGGGUCUUCUUUUUUAUUCAUUUGUCUUCUGCUGGUGUGUGAGGUCUAGAUCUGAUGAGCAUAGGCUGUUUCCUUGUGCAUCUAGCUAGAUCCAUGUGUAAAUCUAAUGAAAUGAUAUAGGAUCUCAUUAGAGGAAGAACCAACAUAUUUGAUUGUUCACCCUGAUGUGUGGUUAGUGAUUGGUAGUGUAGCUAGAUCAGGUGUUCAUCUCGGUGGUGAUGUGCCAAGGUAUGGACUUGUUUGCUGGGCUAUUGCUGUCUGUGUGACCAAAGCGGUAGUUCAACGAUGGGGGAAGGUACGCCGAUCCUUCCG